RNAcentral lists this ribosomal RNA (356 nucleotides) under uncultured Glomeraceae. RNAcentral's name for it is "SSU rRNA". It matches the Rfam family "Eukaryotic small subunit ribosomal RNA", at positions 569 to 929 of the family's 1831-position model. The record is from RNAcentral. Lineage: Eukaryota; Fungi; Glomeromycota; Glomeromycetes; Glomerales; Glomeraceae.
AUCAGCCGCGGUAAUUCCAGCUCCAAUAGCGUAUAUUAAAGUUGUUGCAGUUAAAAAGCUCGUAAUUGAAUUUCGGGGUCAGUAGAUUGGUCGUGCCACUGGUAUGUACUGGUCUUACUGGCUCCUCCUUCCUGAUGAACCGUAAUGCCAUUAAUUUGGUGUUGCGGGGAGACUGGACUGUUACUUUGAAAAAAUUAGAGUGUUUAAAGCAGGCUAACGCUUGAAUACAUUAGCAUGGAAUAAUGAAAUAGGACGUUCGAUCUUAUUUUGUUGGUUUCUAGGAUUGACGUAAUGAUUAAUAGGGAUAGUUGGGGGCAUUAGUAUUCAAUUGUCAGAGGUGAAAUUCUUGGAUUAAU